AUGGUCGUAGAUUUGGCAAAAAGUGAAAUGACGUUGAAGAAAAGAGAAACAAAAGGACCGGGAAAAUAUGGUUGCCGAGCAACAUUUUCAGCUUAUUUGAAAUUGAAAGUACUCGGGAAGGACACGGCUUGGUUAAUGUCGCAAUAUAUCGGGUUAUUGUGCCUAAAUGGAUGACACGAACAAAAAAAAUAUAUUAAGGCCAUUGCUCUUCAGGAUCCCUAAGAAAUAUGUAAUUCAUUUCUUAAAUAUUUACUGUGCUAAGCUAUAUAAUCUCAUCUUAUUGAAUUUUUCUUCGGCAGGAAGCUCCCUCAUUGUCGGAUUUGUGUGCGUUAGAAGUCUGCUUAUGUGCCUUCGACUCGCGGCUUGGAUUGCUUGGGCAACUGUAUCGAUGUUUAAGUCACGGUGAAUGUAAUUUAAAACCAAAUUUCUGCGCACUAGUUUAUUAAAAAUGACGACUAGAAAUACGCAUUUUUUUGUCAAAUGCUCAAGUAGGCAUACAUUAAUCGCUUUUAUUAUGACUUUAGGCAGCCAGUAAAUCAAUUAAUUUUUAUGUUCACAUCCACUUCACCAUCCCAGCACCACCUCUCCCUGCAUCCCAUCGGUCUUUCUCUUUCACCUCUCCUCCUUUAUAAUGGUAUCACAAAGGCCAAUCCAUUUUUCGUCGUGUGUGCUCACUCCUUGGAUAACCAUACCAACCUAACAUAACCUAACCCACUUCACCCAUUAUCCUAUUGGUUAUUACUUUUUUUUAUCGAUUUAGCGUAAACUAAUUGAACGCAAUUUAAUUAAUUCGCUUUUAUCAUUAAAUAACAGACGAUCUCUUCUGAAUUUUUAAUUUCUUCUCGGCAUCAUUUCGGUUAAAACCGACUGCUCGUUCCUUAUUGAGUUAAUUGACUUUAAUGUGCCAGAUUCGA
Molecule: long non-coding RNA, 914 nt
Organism: Anastrepha ludens (Mexican fruit fly)
Lineage: Eukaryota; Metazoa; Arthropoda; Insecta; Diptera; Tephritidae
Exons: 4
Source: RefSeq, a predicted model, not a curated record